Small nucleolar RNA from Brienomyrus brachyistius, 135 nucleotides. RefSeq annotates it as small nucleolar RNA SNORA5. Lineage: Eukaryota; Metazoa; Chordata; Actinopteri; Osteoglossiformes; Mormyridae. The transcript has a single exon. The record is from RefSeq and is a predicted model, not a curated record.
UGCAGCCUUGUCAAAUUCGGUACAUCCUUGUUUAGUGGACUGUUCCGGCCAAAAUGGCUGCCACAAUGAAAUGACAGCUCAUGGGCCCCACAUUGCCACAUGAAUGCUGGGGAUAAAUUGCUGCUGCCAACACUG